Molecule: ribosomal RNA, 960 nt
Filed under: Sporosarcina sp. Tianshan213-10
Lineage: Bacteria; Bacillati; Bacillota; Bacilli; Caryophanales; Caryophanaceae
Description: bacterial SSU rRNA
Rfam family: Bacterial small subunit ribosomal RNA
Source: RNAcentral
CGAGCGGAAUGAUGAAGAAGCUUGCUUCUUCUGAUUUUAGCGGCGGACGGGUGAGUAACACGUGGGCAACCUACCUUGUAGAUUGGGAUAACUCCGGGAAACCGGGGCUAAUACCGAAUAAUCCAUUUUGCUUCAUGGCAAGAUGUUGAAAGGCGGCUUCGGCUGUCACUACGAGAUGGGCCCGCGGCGUAUUAGCUAGUUGGUAGGGUAACGGCCUACCAAGGCGACGAUACGUAGCCGACCUGAGAGGGUGAUCGGCCACACUGGGACUGAGACACGGCCCAGACUCCUACGGGAGGCAGCAGUAGGGAAUCUUCCACAAUGGACGAAAGUCUGAUGGAGCAACGCCGCGUGAGUGAAGAAGGUUUUCGGAUCGUAAAACUCUGUUGUAAGGGAAGAACACGUACGAGAGUAACUGCUCGUACCUUGACGGUACCUUAUUAGAAAGCCACGGCUAACUACGUGCCAGCAGCCGCGGUAAUACGUAGGUGGCAAGCGUUGUCCGGAAUUAUUGGGCGUAAAGCGCGCGCAGGCGGUUCUUUAAGUCUGAUGUGAAAGCCCACGGCUCAACCGUGGAGGGUCAUUGGAAACUGGAGAACUUGAGUACAGAAGAGGAAAGCGGAAUUCCACGUGUAGCGGUGAAAUGCGUAGAGAUGUGGAGGAACACCAGUGGCGAAGGCGGCUUUCUGGUCUGUAACUGACGCUGAGGCGCGAAAGCGUGGGGAGCAAACAGGAUUARAUACCCUGGUARUCCACGCCGUAAACGAUGAGUGCUAAGUGUUAGGGGGUUUCCGCCCCUUAGUGCUGCAGCUAACGCAUUAAGCACUCCGCCUGGGGGAGUACGAGCGCAAGGUUGAAACUCAAAGGAAUUGACGGGGGCCACGCACAAUCGGUGGAGCAUGGUGGUUUAAUUCGAAGCAACGCGAAGAACCUUACCAGGUCUUGACAUCCCACUGACCG